Molecule: long non-coding RNA, 1021 nt
Filed under: Homo sapiens (human)
Lineage: Eukaryota; Metazoa; Chordata; Mammalia; Primates; Hominidae
Description: HSALNT0327121
Source: RNAcentral
GGGCAUCCUGAGAGCCAAACUGCCAUUAUUGUUAUUUCUGUUCUGGAUUUAGCCACUCAGCGGAGCUACUGGGCUCCAGGCCGGUACUGGGGAAUAUCUGCAAAGAGUCCUGUGAUGUUAUCCGUCUUCAGGUCUUUCAGCCAUGGAUACAAGCACCUGCUCUGGUGGAGGUAGCAGGGAACUGAAGUAGACUCUGUGAGGGGUCCGUGGUUGUAUUUUUAAGUGCACUGAUUUUGUGUUGGCUGGCCUCCAGCCAAAAGGUAGCACUUUCAAAAGUGCAUCAGCUGCAGUAGUAUAGGGAGGAUACAAGCUUGCCCAAGUAUCAGGUGGUGGGCAGGGCUAUAGAGCUCCCAAGAGAUUAUGUCCUUUGUCUCCAGCUACCAGGGUGGGUGGAGAAAGAUCAUCACGUUGAGGCGGGGUUAGGCUGUCUGAGUUCAGACUCUCCUUGGGUGGAGCUUGCUGCAGCUGCUGUGGGGGAUGGAGUUGUGGUUUCCCAGGCCAGUGGAGUUAUGGUCCCAGAGGGAUUAUGGCUGCCACUGCUGCAUCACACAGGUUGCCAGGAAAGUGGGGGAAACCCGGCAACCACAGGCCUCACCCGUCUCCCAUGCAGCCCAAAAGUCCAGUCUCACUCCCACCAUGUCCCCGCAAACAGCACUGAAUUUAUUUCCAGGCAACCAGUGAGCAAGGCUGAGAACUUGUCCCAGGUUACGAGACUCCCAGGUACAGUCAUGUGCCGCAUAAUGACAUUCAGUCAAUGACAGACUGCAUAUAUGAGGUGGUCCUGUAAGGUGAUAAUGGAGCUGAAAAAUUCCUACUACUGAACGACAUCAUAGCCAUUGUAACAUCAUAGCACAACCAAUCACCUUUUCUAUAUUUAGAUAAGGAGUUCAUAUGCUGGAAUGAUAGUGACACAGGAGUUUAACACUCCUACAGUAUCCAGAGCCUGGAUCCCUGAGUCAUCAGAUGGAGAAGAACUACUCAGGAGAGUCAUCCAACCUUCAUAGACAGUGGCAUGAGUGGG